AUGCAAAGAAGCUCUGCUGGAGGCAAAAGAUUUCGAGGACCUGUGGUGCAGUGGACAGGACCCAGCCUGUACCCCGAGGACUCACCCCGAGAUAAACAGGAUAAAUCAUUCUCCUCUACAGUCCUCUCCUACCCUUCCUGGAGCCUCCGCUGUGGUCGACGCUAUGCAGACCGCAGGAACUCAGGGACCCAUUUGUGUCUCAAAGCAGUGUGCAGUGUGCUGAAGACACCCUAAAAACAGUAGUUGCCGACGUUCCAUCUACCCUUCCACCCAUUCAGUAGUGGAAAACUAUAAUAAUGAUACAUGAUACUCCCUCUCUGUGGCUUUUGAGCAUUGCCAUUUAACAACAAUCCUAAGACCAAAGAUGACUGAACAGUCAUUUCUCGUAUUUCCCCUGCAUUCAUGGCUAUUCUCUUUGUUAACUGCAAGUAAUAGGGAGCUAUUCCUUGUUUGCUGAGUGUGUAUGUCCCAAACUCCAUUAAUUCUCAACGAGCCCUAGGAUGCAGGCAUUACAGGUGGGACUGUCUCCCUGUUCUGAUGAGGAAAACAUAAAGAUUAGACAAUCUGCCAUAAUGAAAUAUGGGAUGAUGAGAUGUGCUACUAGAUUGGCAGCUGCUUUAAGUCUAUCCAAAUAUUACGUAUAUAUGUACACGUCUGUGUGUAUAUAUAUUAGAUUCCUGAAGGCUCCUUGAAAGCGUAACUAGUCACAAUGAUUUGUGCACACUGGAGGGGUUCUCCCACAUGGAAGAAGUCGUGUUGCUGUAAAUAGUUUUUUUAAUCCUGUGCUCUGUAUCCCCGUCACUUAGAAAAGGCUUUGUGGAAGAUUGUAGGUUUCUGACUUUGGUAGUACGACGGCCUCCUGCUUGCCCUGUGUCUCCAUCUCCGUGUUCUUCACUCCGUUUGGGCAGACAUCCCUGCUGGGUCCCCCUGAAGUUUCUGCCUGUUUGCAUCUGGCCCAUCUCGGUGUUCACCAGAGCACAGAUCUCCUGGGGAAGCUUUCACCAACCCGGGAUCAGCAUCCUGGCCCUGCUCUGACAAAUUCCCACAAACACGGGCAUAAAGCAAGGCGAGGCCUGCUGGGCAUACCUCCACCAUGGGCCUUGUCACUGCAUACUGUAUUUGCUGGCUGGUCUUUCUGGUUGUCUUCAUGGGAACUCGUAGAAGAUAAGGAUGGAAUGGCAUUUUGGGUAAGAAUGAAUGAAUGAAUGAAUGAAUGAAUGCUAUAUUUAUUCUUGUGUUGAUUCUUGCAUUGUUCCUCCUGGUUGAAAUUGGACUCAAUUAGCUUUGUAGGAUGGGGAGAGCUAAGCAAAAGUUUUAUUUGCGAGGAGCCUGUGGGCAUGCCCACAGAGAUAAAGUCAUUACAGUCAGGAUUUAUGGCUUCUUCUCUCCAUAACGUGUUAUGGCUUUUUCCACUCCUUCAGUCAGACUCGCUAGAAAUUGGUCUCCAGGGAGCUGAGUUAGGGUAUUCACACUCUCUGCACUGGUUUGCCAGGAAGCAUACUGGUUGACCCCUGCUGUCCUGCUAAUUAUGAAAGAUGCCUUUCACUCUCUACUUGCCCUGAUUUUGAUAUUAGAUUAUAGUCACUCUACAAAGAUUAAUAUUUUCAACAUCAAAUAUUAUCAAUUUUUGGAGGGGAGCAAAGAAAAAGAAUAUAAACAAAUGGAAUAUCUGUAAUGACCCUGACUUCACACACGUUACUUCCUCAAAGCUUAGAACAAUCACCGUGAUUCCUGAGAAAGUUAAGCACAAGAAGAAAAUUACGGUUUUAAAAAGUGACAGGUGUUCGACAGGUGUUCCAGUCAGCCUCAAAUGCCAGUAUUUCCAAUUACAUAUUUUGUGUUGAAAGACAAGAGUUUCUUUCUUAUGCUACCCUCGCCUCCCCCCAACCCCAUCUUGGCUAAAGAGUGAUGUGAAGGGAACUCAGUUUCACUGAGAAAUGGUGGCAGGACUCAUUGAUGUCCUGAGAAGUAAAGAGAAUGUUAGCCUUGGACAGAGUCCAAUUGCACCAGCAAGCAAGGUGCAGAUGGGCUGAGCUGCAAGCAAACUCGCCAUGUGCUCCAAGGAAGAGGAAAGAGCGGAGGACAGACAGUUGAGGAGUUCACAAACAGAACAUGUCUGAGAGCCAUCUAAACCAACAACUCGCGUCUUGCCUUGAAGCCAGGCCUACACAACGCUAGGGGAAUAAAGAGAUUGUGAAUUGAAAGACGGUAUUUGAAGAUGAGCCUGGGUAUGGCAGGUGUGCGCACAAGGAUCUUGCUUGGAUCCAUUUGAAAAUGAGUAAAUGCAGCUUAAAAUAUCAGGAAACAGCAGGAGGGAAACGCAAGAGAUUCAUGAUCUGAAGAUUCAUGAUUUGAAGAACUGAACCAAUUUCUUUCAAAAAAAAAUAAUAACACAAGUGGUGAAAAAAGUAAGAGAAAAGGAGACUGUUCAAUAAUUCUGAAAAUCACUUGUUCAAAUACCAGGACAAUAGCACGAUAAAUAUUUACUGUGAGCCGGAUCUAUCAAGUAGGAGCCAGGCAGAAUGAGAAGACUGCUUUUUGACAUCACAGUAAUUAAUAAACAAAGACUGAUAUGAAAUUAUUUGUCCAUCCCUAACACUUUACUCAUUUUUCACAAUUGCCUAUAAAACAUCUACAACUUAUCAUCACAGAAAGAUCAUAAAUAACAGUUUGCCUUUUAUUUUCUUUAAUAGACCAUACAUUUAUAUCCGUUCUCCUGACAGAACCAUUACUGUGCAGUGAAGAGAAACUUAAUAAUAUUUGAAAAACAGUGAUUUUAUAUUUGGAUGAUAUGCAGAUCUCCUGCUAUGUAUGUGGAAAAUGGAAUUAUUGCUAGAAAUGUUAUUUAAAGAUUAGGGCACGGAAGUCGUAUUAAGAGGUCAUUAAGUUCCUUCUGCAGAAAGGAACUUAUCUCGACUCAUUCAAAGAGCUUCGUGCCACUUUGAGGUCCUUCUGCAAAAUUUAAAUUGCUCAACAAAAGACCAUC
RNAcentral lists this long non-coding RNA (2986 nucleotides) under Canis lupus familiaris (dog). RNAcentral describes it as "lncRNA (ENSCAFG00845025004.1)". Lineage: Eukaryota; Metazoa; Chordata; Mammalia; Carnivora; Canidae. The record is from RNAcentral.